Molecule: long non-coding RNA, 1261 nt
Filed under: Monodelphis domestica (gray short-tailed opossum)
Lineage: Eukaryota; Metazoa; Chordata; Mammalia; Didelphimorphia; Didelphidae
Description: lncRNA (ENSMODG00000038131.1)
Source: RNAcentral
AAAUUAUAAUUAUUAUUGUGCUGUCAUGUAAUUGUCAUCAUACUUUUCCCCCUAAGAGCUCAAAGCAGAAUCUUUGAAAAGAACUUUUCAACUACAAAAAAAUGUCAUGAUCCAUUAAAAGAAUUUCAAAUUUACUGUAGUAGCCCUUGAUCUUGUGGCACUUUUUUGUGUAUUAGCCUAAAGCAGUCUCAUUUGGGACUGUUCAUUGGGUAAUGUUGGGUAAUAUUAACACAAUUAUAUUAGAAGUUGAAAAGGACACAUAAUUAAAUCACCCCAGGAUGGCCCAUCAUGCCAUGAUAUAUACCAGUGCCAAAUAGAGGAGAGUCUGUCUAUUUGAUCCUAGGGGAAAUAUGAAGCAACUGCCUCCAGACUCAGUCCAUUUUAUUUUUUGACAGCUCUAACUCUUUAAGAAAAUUUUCUUUACCUGAAAUCUCAUUUUGCCUCUUGGCAAUUUUCCACUUAUGACUCCUACUGCUGCCCUUUGGAGCCAAGCAGAGAAAAUCUAAUUAAUCUCUCAGCCUGUCAAGAGCUUUCUGGAUCCUGACUCUCUCCUCCAGCUUAUAAUUGGUCCCACAGCCUCCAUGAAAUGAAUCUGGGCAAGUCAAGCUUAAUGGACAAUAGGGGGCAAGGAAAAGAUGUAUGACUCCUGUUGACAAUAUUGCUAUCAGUACAGAAGAGAUGCUAUUAACUUUCAUAUUUGCAGCCAAUACCCUGAGCUCCUCCAGAGUAAGGUUGGGCUUCUCCUUUUCCUUGUAUCCCCUGUGCUUAGUUAGCAUUGUGCCUGGCCCUACAAGACACCCACUGACUGACUUACACAAACUUUAGAUGGGAAAGCCAAAAUUCAAGUCUUUUCACCCUGAAAUGAAUACAAGACAUCUGUUCUGAGUAACUUCCAUCUGGAAUACUGUAGCCCUCAUUUCCCGUUUGCAUACGUGAUAUUAGUGUAAUUGAAACUGGUUUAGAAACAGAAAAGGAAGAAAAAUAAUACUUGCUUCAUUUGGUCCACAGAAAAUUGCAUUGUCUUUUGAUUUCCACCCUUGAAUGGAAGUAGUUAUGGUGCCACACACAAGAGAAAUGUCAUCUUAAAAAUUACACGCUAAUAUCAGUUAGCACUGUGAUGUUAGUAGCAAUUAACCUUAAAAGCAACAAUUUUUUUAAUAUGGUGUCUCUCCAUUAACUCAUCCCUUUUUAUAAACAAUUACAUGAUACAUUCUCAUGAAAAGCAUAUAUAUUCAAUAAUAAAUAUUUAACUUGAAGAUCA